GCCCAGACUCCUACGGGAGGCAGCAGUGGGGAAUAUUGGGCAAUGGGAGAAACCCUGACCCAGCGACGCCGCGUGAGGGAUGAAGGUUCUCGGAUCGUAAACCUCUGUCAGAAGGGAAGAAAUUAUAUCAUGCUAAUCAGUGGUGUAUUGACGGUACCUUCAAAGGAAGCACCGGCUAACUCCGUGCCAGCAGCCGCGGUAAUACGGAGGAUGCGAGCGUUAUCCGGAUUUAUUGGGUUUAAAGGGUGCGCAGGCGGGCUGUUAAGCCGGCGGUAAAAAUUCAGGGCUCAACCCUGUCGAGCCGUCGGAACUGGCAGUCUUGAGUGGGCGAGAAGUAUGCGGAAUGCGUGGUGUAGCGGUGAAAUGCAUAGAUAUCACGCAGAACGCCGAUUGCGAAGGCAGCAUACCGGCGCCCAACUGACGCUGAGGCACGAAAGCGUGGGGAUCGAACAGGAUUAGAUACCCCCGUAAA
RNAcentral lists this ribosomal RNA (472 nucleotides) under uncultured bacterium. Its description in RNAcentral is "bacterial SSU rRNA". It matches the Rfam family "Bacterial small subunit ribosomal RNA", at positions 329 to 794 of the family's 1533-position model. The record is from RNAcentral.